RNAcentral lists this ribosomal RNA (490 nucleotides) under uncultured bacterium. RNAcentral's name for it is "bacterial SSU rRNA". It matches the Rfam family "Bacterial small subunit ribosomal RNA", at positions 32 to 533 of the family's 1533-position model. The record is from RNAcentral.
UCAACGCUGGCGGCGUGCCUCAGACAUGCAAGUCGAACGAUUAAAGCUCUCUUCGGAGAGUGUAUAGAGUGGCGCACGGGUGAGUAACACGUAAGUAAUCUACCUUUGAGUGGGGAAUAACGUCCGGAAACGGACGCUAAUACCGCAUAAUGCAGCGGCAUCGCAAGAUGACAGUUGUUAAAGAUUUAUCGCUUGAAGAGGAGCUUGCGGCAGAUUAGCUAGUUGGUAAGGUAAUGGCUUACCAAGGCUACGAUCUGUAACCGGUCUAAGAGGACGGUCGGUCACACUGACACUGAACAACGGGUCAGACUCCUACGGGAGGCAGCAGUCGGGAAUUUUGGGCAAUGGGCGAAAGCCUGACCCAGCAACGCCGCGUGAAGGAUGAAGUAUUUCGGUAUGUAAACUUCGAAAGAAUGGGAAGAAUAAAUGACGGUACCAUUUAUAAGGUCCGGCUAACUACGUGCCAGCAGCCGCGGUAAGUCUCGCGUGA